Molecule: non-coding RNA, 1231 nt
Organism: Microcebus murinus (gray mouse lemur)
Lineage: Eukaryota; Metazoa; Chordata; Mammalia; Primates; Cheirogaleidae
Source: RefSeq, a predicted model, not a curated record
GUGUGCACCCUGCACUCUGUCCCUCACUCGCCGCUGAUGACCUGCCGCGCCGUGCACAUGCCCUGUCGCCGCCCCUCAGAAAUGCUUCGAUUACCCACAGUGCUUCGCCAGAUAAGACCUGUGUCCAGGGCACUGGCUCCUCAUCUCACUCGGGCUUAUGCCAAAGAUGUGAAAUGUGGUGCAGAUGCCCAAGCCUUAAUGCUUCAAGGUGUAGACCUUUUAGCCUAUGCUGUAGCUGUUACAAUGGGGCCAAAGGGAAGAACAGUGAUUAUUGAACAGAAUUGGGGAAGUCCCAAAGUAACAAAAGAUGGUGUGACUGUUGCAAAGUCAAUUGACUUAAAAGAUAAAUAAAAAAAAUAUUGGAGCUAAACUUGUUCAAGAUGUUGCCAAUAACACAAAUGAAGAGGCUGGGGAUGGUACCACCAUUGCUACUGUACUGGCACGGUCUAUUGCCAAAGAAGGCUUUGAGAAGAUUAGCAAAGGUGCUAAUCCAGUGGAAAUCAGGAGAGGUGUGAUGUUAGCUGUUGAUGCCGUAAUUGCUGAACUAAAGAAGCAGUCUAAACCUGUGACAACCCCUGAAGAAAUCGCUCAGGUUGCUACGAUUUCUGCAAAUGGAGACAAAGAAAUUGGCAACAUCAUUUCUGAUGCAAUGAAAAAGGUUGGAAGAAAGGGUGUCAUCACAGUAAAGGAUGGAAAAACACUGAAUGAUGAAUUAGAAAUUAUUGAAGGCAUGAAAUUUGAUCAAGGUUAUAUUUCUCCAUACUUUAUUAACACAUCAAAGAUCAGAAAUGUGAAUUCCAGGAUGCCUAUGUUCUAUUGAGUGAAAAGAAAAUUUCUAGUGUCCAGUCAAUUAUACCUGCUCUUGAAAUUGCCAAUGCUCACUGUAAGCCCUUGGUCAUAAUUGCUGAAGAUGUUGAUGGAGAAGCGCUAAGUACACUUGUUUUAAAUGGGUUAAAAGUUGGUCUUCAAGUUGUAGCAGUCAAAGCUCCAGGUUUUGGGGAUAAUAGAAAGAGCCAGCUUAAGGACAUGGCUAUUGCUACUGGUGGUGCGGUGUUUGGAGAAGAGGGGUUGACCCUAAACCUUGAAGAUGUUCAGCCUCAUGACUUAGGAAAAGUUGGAGAGAAGCAGCCUUUCUGUGGAGAGUAAGAAUAAUUGUGUACAAAGUAGAGAACUAUCCAAUUAUGUGACAACCUUUGUGUAAUAAAAAUUUGUUUAAAGUUAAAAAAAAAAA